RNAcentral lists this ribosomal RNA (508 nucleotides) under uncultured bacterium. RNAcentral's name for it is "bacterial SSU rRNA". It matches the Rfam family "Bacterial small subunit ribosomal RNA", at positions 1 to 507 of the family's 1533-position model. The record is from RNAcentral.
CGACGAGUUUGAUCAUGGCUCAGGAUGAACGCUAGCGGCAGGCUUAACACAUGCAAGUCGAGGGGCAGCGCGAUGUAGCAAUACAUUGGCGGCGACCGGCGCACGGGUGCGUAACACGUAUGGAACUUACCCUUUACUGGGAGAUAGCCCGGAGAAAUCCGGAUUAAUAUCCCAUAAUAAACGAAGUGGCAUCACUUUGUUUUGAAAGCUCCGGCGGUAAAGGAUGGCCAUGCGCACGAUUAGCUAGUAGGUGAGGUAACGGCUCACCUAGGCUACGAUCGUUAGGGGGCCUGAGAGGGUUAUCCCCCACACUGGUACUGAGACACGGACCAGACUCCUACGGGAGGCAGCAGUGAGGAAUAUUGCGCAAUGGAGGCAACUCUGACGCAGCCAUGCCGCGUGCAGGAAGAAGGCGCUACGCGUUGUAAACUGCUUUUAACCGGGAAGAAACCCUCCGACGUGUCGGAGGUUGACGGUACCGGAGGAAUAAGCACCGGCUAACUUCGUG